GAUGAACGCUGGCGGCGUGCCUAAUACAUGCAAGUCGAGCGAACGGACGAGAAGCUUGCUUCUCUGAUGUUAGCGGCGGACGGGUGAGUAACACGUGGAUAACCUACCUAUAAGACUGGGAUAACUUCGGGAAACCGGAGCUAAUACCGGAUGAUAUUUUGAACCGCAUGGUUCAAAAGUGAAAGACGGUCUUGCUGUCACUUAUAGAUGGAUCCGCGCUGCAUUAGCUAGUUGGUAAGGUAACGGCUUACCAAGGCAACGAUGCAUAGCCGACCUGAGAGGGGGGUCGGCCACACGGGAACUGAGACACGGUCCAGACUCCUACGGGAGGCAGCAGUAGGGAAUCUUACGCAAUGGGCGAAAGCCUGACGGAGCAACGCCGCGUGAGUGAUGAAGGUCUUCGGAGCGUAAAACUCUGUUAUUAGGGAAGAACAUAUGUGUAAGUAACUGUGCACAUCUUGACGGUACCUAAUCAGAAAGCCACGGCUAACUACGUG
RNAcentral lists this ribosomal RNA (497 nucleotides) under uncultured bacterium. RNAcentral describes it as "partial 16S ribosomal RNA". It matches the Rfam family "Bacterial small subunit ribosomal RNA", at positions 28 to 507 of the family's 1533-position model. The record is from RNAcentral.